This 96-nucleotide transfer RNA is filed under the name Venturia inaequalis. RNAcentral describes it as "tRNA-Ala". It matches the Rfam family "tRNA". Rfam says of the family: Transfer RNA (tRNA) molecules are approximately 80 nucleotides in length. Their secondary structure includes four short double-helical elements and three loops (D, anti-codon, and T loops). Further hydrogen bonds mediate the characteristic L-shaped molecular structure. tRNAs have two regions of fundamental functional importance: the anti-codon, which is responsible for specific mRNA codon recognition, and the 3' end, to which the tRNAs corresponding amino acid is attached (by aminoacyl-tRNA synthetases). tRNAs cope with the degeneracy of the genetic code in two manners: having more than one tRNA (with a specific anti-codon) for a particular amino acid; and 'wobble' base-pairing, i.e. permitting non-standard base-pairing at the 3rd anti-codon position. The record is from RNAcentral. Lineage: Eukaryota; Fungi; Ascomycota; Dothideomycetes; Venturiales; Venturiaceae.
GGGCAAUUGGUCUAGUGGUAUGAUUUCCCCUUAGCAACUUCGAUUACUCGAAGACGAAUUUGGGGAAGGUCCUGGGUUCAAUUCCCAGAUUGUCCA